RNAcentral lists this small RNA (124 nucleotides) under Salmonella enterica subsp. enterica serovar Senftenberg. Its description in RNAcentral is "partial RtT sRNA". It matches the Rfam family "RtT RNA", at positions 41 to 130 of the family's 130-position model. From Rfam's summary of the family: This family represents a bacterial cis-regulatory element known as RtT RNA. Lineage: Bacteria; Pseudomonadati; Pseudomonadota; Gammaproteobacteria; Enterobacterales; Enterobacteriaceae. RNAcentral also lists the same sequence under 1 other name. The record is from RNAcentral.
GUUCGAAUCCUGCACGACCCACCAAUAUACAAGGUGGUAACUGGUAGAGAACGUGAAGGAUAACGUUGCUUUAGCAACGGCCCGAAGGGCGAGGCGAAGCCGAGUCAUCCUGCACGACCCACCA